This is a long non-coding RNA of Homo sapiens (human), 656 nucleotides long. Ensembl annotates it as ZNF341 antisense RNA 1. Its record names the gene ZNF341-AS1. The record is from Ensembl. NCBI's taxonomy places the organism in Eukaryota, Metazoa, Chordata, Mammalia, Primates, Hominidae.
GGCAUUCUGGGAAAUGUAGUCUCCUUGGCCUGCGCUCUGUAGGAGUGGCAGAACAGUAAGAGAAAUGACAAAGCAAGAGGAACCUAAUACUCUUCCUCAUUGGCCUUCCUGUCUCCAUCUUUAUUCCUUCCAGCUCAUUCUCUACAUGACACUGUGAAUGCCAAACUGUCUGGAGGCUGCCAUGAGCGGCCAAUUUGUGAUCUCUGCUUUACCUGAAUUAUUUCCGUGAAUUGUGACAUCAACCUCGCCAGAUAAGAAAGAAGACUGAAGUUCAGAGAGGUGAAGGGACUGGCUCAGGGGCUACCCCUAUGGUUGCGGGAGCUAAGAUUCCAGCCCAGCAGCGUGAUCCAGAGCCCAUCUGAGCUACCCAGAUCUUCCUGCUGUUAAACCCGUCCUGGGGCAGCUCUUGCCUGAUGGGCUACCUGAGGAACCCACAGGAAAUCAAGGGAGGUGCCUGCAAAGUUGCCGUGGGGUCACAGCCUGCCCUUUGGAAGGGGCUGUUUCUGGGCUGCUGUGACUUCCUGCCAUUAUUUCCUCUCUGUUCUCCCUCUGGAAUGAAUAAAGUACUUCUGAAAAACCAUCAACCCAGUCGAUACGGAAAUGCUGGUCCCUACAAUAGAAUGCUCUGUGGUCAUUAAAAAGAUUAAAAAGGUCAA